This 308-nucleotide long non-coding RNA is filed under the name Fukomys damarensis (Damara mole-rat). RNAcentral describes it as "lncRNA (ENSFDAG00000021982.1)". The record is from RNAcentral. Lineage: Eukaryota; Metazoa; Chordata; Mammalia; Rodentia; Bathyergidae.
GAAGAUACUAUCAAAGACAUCAAAUGAGCAUAAAACUUUCAUUCAGAGGACCUGGAAAGUGAAACUAGAGCCAGGUGUACAAAGUUCUCAGUUCUUUUACUGUUUGGGAAAAGGGGAAUUGAAAUGAUGGCCUGGAUUAUAAGUAAUUAUUUAAAUUGCUUUAAUUUGAGGAAAUUGAAAAGGACAAAGCAGAUUUUCAUUAAGGCACAGUAGAGCUGGAGAAGCAGAGCAUGAGAUGCCAUAUCCUUUGGUGAGGAGCUACUACGUGCUUCGAUAGCUGCACCACAUCGGAUCGUGCUGCUCACCUC